Molecule: transfer-messenger RNA, 330 nt
Filed under: Candidatus Nealsonbacteria bacterium RIFCSPLOWO2_01_FULL_43_32
Lineage: Bacteria; Candidatus Nealsoniibacteriota
Also listed under: 1 other name
Rfam family: transfer-messenger RNA
About the family: Bacterial tmRNA, also known as 10Sa RNA or SsrA, is named for its dual tRNA and mRNA-like properties. Its role is to liberate the mRNA from a stalled ribosome.
Source: RNAcentral
GGGGAUGAUAAGAUUCGAUGAGGAGCGGACUAAAAUAGGCAAGCAAAAACACAAGAAUAAGUGCCAAUUUAUUCAACAAACCUGCUCUCGUUUACGCUUAGUAAAUCAAGAGCCAUCUGACUUGUUGAUUCUCGCUAGGCAAAAUCAGGUGUUAUCUUCAGCGGGAUAGAUGAUUGUUCAGAUCCGGGGAAAUCAUCAAAAACGUUCGGAUUAAAAGCCUGGAAAUUUUGUCCAAUUUCAAUUCCAUGCUUGACGCAAAUUGGACUAAGCUUGUAGUAUUAUUUUAGACAAACUCUUCAGACACGGGCGCAAAUCCCGUCAUCUCCACAC